Molecule: non-coding RNA, 1103 nt
Organism: Arachis ipaensis
Lineage: Eukaryota; Viridiplantae; Streptophyta; Magnoliopsida; Fabales; Fabaceae
Source: RefSeq, a predicted model, not a curated record
UUCACUCGGUGUGGCUUUAUAUCCAUCGUUUGCCUUACAGAUAGAGAAGGAGCAGUCCUUUUUCACAGUGACCGAUCCCCACCAUAAAUUUUAACCAAGCGCAAUAUCCAUGGCCAUCAGAAAGUACAGGCUCUACGCUGUUCGGAGGGAAAAAAAUCCUGGCAUCUAUACGUCUUGGGAGGAUUGUAAAGAAGAAGUUAACGGGUUUAAAGAUGCAUAAUUCAAGGGUUUUCGCCUCCUGCGAGACGCCAAAUCUUGGUUGGGAUUGGUAGAUCCACCAUUGCCACCACCCCCACUUACGAAACUUCAUUCUGGAGUGCAUCCUCGGACGGGGCUGCUCGAGCAACCGUUCUCUUUAUCCACACACUUCAACAGCAUGCAAGUUGGCCCAACAUUGGGAAAGUCAUCACAGAAAGCAUUCGUUCCUUGUUCUCAGACACCACUAGGAGCGAAUACUGUUCCGGAAACUAGUUCACCUCAGUUUGUACUGGUUGAAGAUAUGGAGGUGUAUCUCAUUUGCGUGUGUUGCCAACUGAAGCUUGAUUAUCCAGUCUUCAACAGGCGUGAGUUUUUUUCCGACAGUGGGGAGUGCUUCAUGGCUAUUGGGUGACACUGCAAUCCCAACAGUACGAUGUUAACUGGAUCGUUGAGGGUGGGUUCUCCUCUGAUGAGCAGAAGGCAAGGCAGGACGCGUCAUUCAAAAUGUUGGGGAAGGUGUUAUCUUUGCUCGGGAAGGAAAUCAACGAUUACAACUAUAGGAUCGUGGCAGGCUUGAUAGCUCGGGUUGAGGAACUGGAACGACAACUAUCAACACCCGUCUACCAGCGAAUCCGGGAUCUCGAACAGGAGAACCAAAACCUUAAGUCUGAUCUUGACAAGUAUAACGAGUUAUUUGAGUGUUGAAUCGAGGGUUGACAAUGUUAGCAACAUUCUAUGUGCACAGUUUAGCAGUGUGUUGUUAAUUCUUGUUCCUUUUCGUUUGUUCCUAUUUACUAGUUAAUCCUAUUUACGUUUGCAUGUUGUUAACGUUGACGGUGUUGUUGUAACGUGGUGGACGGUUCAGGACGUAAUUAUGAAAAUAUAAAGGUUAAUUACAUAUUUUA